GACCUCUUAGGAACACUCUCUGUCCUGAACCUCGUCUGACGGUAAGGCGCGACCCCGUAAGAUGCCUGAUAUGGAGGACGUGUCUCAUGUAUUGAAUCACGAUGGCGUGCCAGUCCCCCCCCUCCGUCAGCUGCUCUCUCCGCCCGCCGCCAGGAGCAUUGCAUCACUCGGCGCUUCUCAGCCCUCAGGUGGUGACGUCAGACUGUCCUUACAGGGUCAGUGAACCUCAUGCAUCUCCACGCUUCCUCACGCCAGUGCCAUCUGGAGUACUCUUAUGAAACUCCCGAGUCCUCAGGGUGACUUGUGUACAACUAAUACUGAAGUGAAGCACACACACACACACACACACACACAC
Molecule: long non-coding RNA, 355 nt
Organism: Scylla paramamosain (green mud crab)
Lineage: Eukaryota; Metazoa; Arthropoda; Malacostraca; Decapoda; Portunidae
Exons: 3
Source: RefSeq, a predicted model, not a curated record